UACGGAGGAUGCGAGCGUUAUCCGGAUUUAUUGGGUUUACAGGGUGCGCAGGCGGUCUGUUAAGUCAGCGGUCAAAGCCCGGGGCUCAACCCCGGCCCGCCGUUGAAACUGGCAGUCUUGAGUACAGUAGAGGUGGGCGGAAUUCGUGGUGUAGCGGUGAAAUGCAUAGAUAUCACGCAGAACUCCGAUCGCGAAGGCAGCCUACCGGCGCGCUACUGACGCUCAUGCACGAAAGCGUGGGUAUCGAACAGG
RNAcentral lists this ribosomal RNA (252 nucleotides) under uncultured Bacteroidales bacterium. RNAcentral describes it as "partial 16S ribosomal RNA". It matches the Rfam family "Bacterial small subunit ribosomal RNA", at positions 524 to 776 of the family's 1533-position model. Lineage: Bacteria; Pseudomonadati; Bacteroidota; Bacteroidia; Bacteroidales. The record is from RNAcentral.